CCACUGCCUCCACACUGCCCGGUAUGCCUUCCAGGAAGACUCCGCCAAGGAAUCCGAUACCAAGCCCAUCAGACCUCGAAAUCGAGCUUCCAUAAGGAGUCUGGACACCGCAGACCGGUCCGCUGCGCCUCUGGCGCUGCCUCGCGAAACCGCUCCCACUGCAAGCGAGACAAUGCAUCAGCCACCACGUUCUGAACACCCGGGACAUGCUGCGCC
Molecule: non-coding RNA, 216 nt
Organism: Pelobates cultripes (western spadefoot toad)
Lineage: Eukaryota; Metazoa; Chordata; Amphibia; Anura; Pelobatidae
Source: the annotation of a GenBank genome assembly